Molecule: ribosomal RNA, 459 nt
Filed under: uncultured bacterium
Lineage: Bacteria
Description: bacterial SSU rRNA
Rfam family: Bacterial small subunit ribosomal RNA
Source: RNAcentral
GUGAGUAACACGUAGGAACAUGCCUCAAAGUCAAGAAUAAGCCUUCGAAAGGAGGUCUAAUACUGGAUGUUUUAUGACUCUUACAGAGUUUUAACAAAGGGUUGAGUUUACUCAAUCCGCUUUGAGAUUGGCCUGCGGACUAUCAGCUUGUUGGUGAGGUAAGAGCUCACCAAGGCUAAGACGGUUAAGGGGCGUGAGAGCGCGACCCCUCACAAGGGCACUGAGACACGGGCCCUACACCUACGGGUGGCAGCAAGCAGGAAUCAUGCGCAAUGGGGGAAACCCUGACGCUGCGACGCCGCGUGCGGGAUGAAGGUUUUAUUAUCGUAAACCGCUGUGGAGUGGGAAGAAUACCAAGUUUACUUGGUUUGACGGUACCACUCUAGAAAGUAGUUGCUAACCAGGUGCCAGAAGCCUCGGUCAUACCUGGGCUACAAGCGUUAUCCGGAGUUAUUGGGC